AGGAAAGUAUGGGGAGGGAGCUAAACCGGAGACAUUCACUUUUGCCUUAACUCUGGUCUUCAUCCAAUGUGUGAUCAAUGCUGUGUUUGCCAAGAUCUUGAUCCAGUUUUUUGACACUGCGAGGGUGGAUCGCACUCGGAGCUGGCUCUAUGCUGCCUGCUCGGUCUCCUAUCUGGGUGCCAUGGUCUCCAGCAACUCAGCACUACAGUUUGUCAACUAUCCGACUCAGGUCCUUGGUAAAUCCUGCAAGCCAAUCCCAGGUAAGCAGAAGAAGAUGGUCCCCAUCUACCGUCCUCACUCUUCCUGUAGGAAGCCCUCUACUCCUCUGCUAGAGCCGUGUAUUCCUUUGGAUUCGUCAUCCCAUCUCGGCUCUCUUGAGAGUCGCCCCUCCGUCCCUUCCUGCUGCCAUCCUGUCACCCGUAUCACUUCCUGUGGCGUUGGGGGUGCAUGAGCUAGAGGCUGACCUAGUCUGCUUCUCGUGCCGGUCAUUUUGGCGUCCCGUGUGUUUACGUGGUCAUUAGACACCCUAAAUCCUAUUUUGGGGGCGCCUGGGUGGCUCAGUCGGUUAAACGUCCCGACUUCAGCUCGGGUCAUGAUCUCGUGGUC
This is a non-coding RNA of Puma concolor (puma), 606 nucleotides long. The record is from RefSeq and is a predicted model, not a curated record. NCBI's taxonomy places the organism in Eukaryota, Metazoa, Chordata, Mammalia, Carnivora, Felidae.